AUUGAACGCUGGCGGCAGGCCUAACACAUGCAAGUCGAACGAGUGGCGGACGGGUGAGUAAUGUCUCGGAACGUGCCUGAUGGAGGGGGAUAACUAUUGGAAACGGUAGCUAAUACCGCAUACCAUUCGAGCUGCCGAGAUGGGAUUAGCUAGUUGGCGGGGUAACGGCCCACCAAGGCGACGAUCACUAGCUGGUCUGAGAGGAUGACCCGCCACACUGGGACUGAGACACGGUCCAGACUCCUACGGGAGGCAGCAGUGGGGAAUAUUGCACAAUGGGCGCAAGCCUGAUGCAGCCAUGCCGCGUGUAUGAAGAAGGCCUUCGGGUUGUAAAGUACUUUCAGCGGGGAGGCGUUACCCGCAGAAGAAGCACCGGCUAACUCCGUGCCAGCAGCCGCGGUAAUUC
This 406-nucleotide ribosomal RNA is filed under the name uncultured bacterium. RNAcentral describes it as "partial 16S ribosomal RNA". It matches the Rfam family "Bacterial small subunit ribosomal RNA", at positions 30 to 526 of the family's 1533-position model. The record is from RNAcentral.